This 78-nucleotide non-coding RNA is filed under the name pig gut metagenome. RNAcentral describes it as "TPP riboswitch (THI element)". It matches the Rfam family "TPP riboswitch aptamer (THI element)", at positions 7 to 92 of the family's 105-position model. From Rfam's summary of the family: Vitamin B(1) in its active form thiamin pyrophosphate (TPP) is an essential coenzyme that is synthesised by coupling of pyrimidine and thiazole moieties in bacteria. The previously detected thiamin-regulatory element, thi box was extended, resulting in a new, highly conserved RNA secondary structure, the THI element, which is widely distributed in eubacteria and also occurs in some archaea. The record is from RNAcentral.
AUACAGGGGUGCCUAGGCUGAGACGGCGUUUGCCGAACCCUUUGACCUGAUCCGGGUAAUACCGGCGUAGGGAGUGUC